AAGUCAAACAAAAUCUUUACACAAUACACAAUAAUUUAGUUAAAAAUUUAGAUAGUACUCAUACAACCGAUAAUAAUCUAUCAACCGCAAGGGUAAAUAACCCUAAAUAAUAGAAGGCAUUAAUAACCCUACCUUUUGCAUAAUGUAACUACAACCACAAACAGAAUAUCCUGCUUCCCGAAAAAUGAAGAGCUAUCUUAGUCAAUCUCUAACCCCUUAGUGUCUCAUUACUAAGCUAGAAAUUAAGAUAGAAGCAAAAUACUUUUCGAGUCACUUGAUAGCUGGUUAUCCCUAAAAAGUAUAUUAGUACUGCUUUUCAGCUCCACAAUCAUAUCUCGCCCCUGAAAAAGAAACCCUAAUGAGGAUAAGCCCAUUAGAAGCACAGAAAUAUCAUCCCCAUUAACAUCAUUUAGAAGGCUUAAAACCAGCCAACAAUCCCCGUUAUAGGGUACGAAUAAAUGUAAAAUCUAAGAUAAAAUAAAAAUUCAACAAUUUAAAGGGAUCCUAUAAUACAACAAUUUCUAUAACGAACCGGUACUUAUUAGUAUUUUCAAUGUUUCAUCAUAAGCCACUAACAAGAACAGCUCCCUCAAACCUGAUAAUCAUUGAUAAAUAAUCGCGAAUAAUGAACUCGGCAAAACCCUUCUUCGCCUGUUUACCAAAAACAUCGUCUUUUGUUUACACCCAUAAAAGAUAUCGCCUGCCCAAUGACUUUUAGUUAAAUGGCCGCGUUAGCGUGAGCGUGCUAAGGUAGCGUAAUAAACAGCCCCUUAAUUGGGGGCCAGUGAAUGGCAUGACAAAGAAGAACUUUAUAUAAUUCACGAAAAAAGAAUUUUUUUUCUAAGUGAAAAAACUUAGAUUAGAGAAAGAGACGAAAAGACCCCGCGGAACUUUACCUGUAGUUUAACCUACCAAAAUCAUAGGUUUAAGAUUACAAAAUUGGUUGGGGCAACCUUGAAACAAACAAAACCUUCAAACAAAUAGCUCAAACACAUAAAAAAUUUGCUAUAGACAACAAUCGCAGUUACCCCGGGGAUAACAGCGUAAUCUGGCUUAAGAGUACACAUUAAAAGCCAGGUUUGCGACCUCGAUGUUGGCUUAGGGAAAGCAACUUGGCGCAGCCACUAAGUUUAUAUGCCAGUCUGUUCGACUGCAAACCCCCUACACGAGCUGAGUUAAGACCGGUGAGAACUAGGUUGGAUUCUAUCUUUUCCCAUUAAACAACUCUUUAUUGUACGAAAGGACCUAAAGAGACGCAGAUAAAGCGUAGUUAAAUUUACCUCAACAGAAAUUAACCCAUUACA
Molecule: ribosomal RNA, 1304 nt
Filed under: Chamberlainia hainesiana
Lineage: Eukaryota; Metazoa; Mollusca; Bivalvia; Unionida; Unionidae
Description: 16S ribosomal RNA
Rfam family: Archaeal large subunit ribosomal RNA (bases 865-1213)
Source: RNAcentral